This 3649-nucleotide long non-coding RNA is filed under the name Nicotiana tabacum (common tobacco). Its description in RNAcentral is "long non-coding RNA (NTAB_LNC006040)". Lineage: Eukaryota; Viridiplantae; Streptophyta; Magnoliopsida; Solanales; Solanaceae. The record is from RNAcentral.
GGAAAUAAAAUGUCAAUACUAUUUUUGUAUUUUUUUAUGAAAGGCAGAUAAACUGAAAAUAACUAGAUAAAAUAUUAAUUAGCUAAAUAAAAGAAAAACAUUUUUGUAAUUUUUAUUUUUAUGAUAAAAUAAAGUAAAAGAGUCAAAACUAGUUAAAAUAGCAAUAUUUGACUUAAUCUAAAUAUUUAAAUGCUAAAUGUGUAAAAUCUCGAGAAGGGUAAAAAAUUACAUGUCUACAACUGUCCCUCUUUGACUGGAAACACAAAGAGUUUUCAGACAUAGAACGACGAGACAGGUUUUUUGACCCGACCCUUAUUUAGAGAGAUUAAAAACUAAAAAAAAGAGAAUGUGACCGAGCCCUAGUAUCUGAGCUGCCUACAUAUCCUUGGCUAUAAAGGAAUCAUGCCACGUGUAGUUCAGAAGUGAAUGAGGUGAUGGAGUGUACCGAGGUGGAGAGCUGAGUGAGGUUUCGUUCCGCCGAGGUUCCGGCCCGCGGUCCUGUUAUUACAUCAAAAUCAAAAAUGAAAAAGACUAACUAAGCCUAUCAGAUACGAGUUACAAGAUUCCUAUCUAUGAGCCUUCUGAAGCUUGAUCUUGAGUCUUGGUUGAUUCUUCAUGCGGACUCUGGUCUGAAUCUUGACGCUUGUUAGCUGUAGGUGUUGGUUCAAUCUUCUUCAGCUUUUUCAGAUCAAGACGGGACAUGUAGAGCUUGUGACUUCAAUUAUGUCUUGAGCAGUCCACAUCUUUUCUCUACUUCUGCACUUUGGAUUAACUUUUCUUUUUUUUUCUUUUAUUCUUGAUUGAGACUUUUUUUUGGUUAUCUCGGACUGUCGACUCGCAUUUUUGAGGCGAGCUUCCACUACUUCUAUCUUGAAUUGAAUUCUGAAAUGACUUCCCUUGUUCUCUAGGUGGUCGCCUGCUACUGAAUUGAAAUUUGAAGUGAUUCUGAAAUGAAUUCCCUUGUUCUCCAGGUGGGCGCCUUCCUACUACAACAAAACAGACAAAACAAAAGAAACUUUUCUGCCCCAGUUUGCACUAGGAAGAUUUGUGAGUUGUUAGUGAAACUAUAAAUCACCUACGCUACUGAUGAAGGAUGCAAUAAUAAGAGUAAAAUUAAUGACUCGACUAGGAUGUGCGUCUCCUAAAAAUGAUUGAGCUUGUGCAACUAUAAACUAAGCUUGACUAAAGUAAAGACUAACCCUAUUCUCCAGGCGGGGCCCUUGAUUUCAAGAAAACUAAAUAUUGAUAACGUAAGAAAACUAAAAAUUGACCUUUUUUUUUCAAAUUCAGACUUCCCCCUUUUAAAAAAAAAAUAUUAUCCUAGGAGAAAAUUCAUUGGACUGAGUUUUCUAUCUUAGGAGAAAGAUUCAUCAGACUAAGAUUUUGAUUCUAGGAGAAAGUUCAUCAGAUUAGGUCUCUUUUCUUCUUAUUUUUGGUAUCUUAGGAAAAAGAUUCAUCAGACUAAGAUUUUGAUCCUAGGAGAAAGUUCCUCAGACUAGGUCUCUUUCUGGUAUCUUAGGCGAAAGAUUCAUUAGACUAAGAUUUUAAUCCUUGGAGAAAGAUUCAUCAGACUAGGUUUUCUAUCUUAGGAGAAAGAUUCAUCAGACUAAGAUUUCGAUCCUAGGAGAAAAUUCAUUAAACUAGGUCACUUUUUUGUUACCUUAGGAGAAAGAUUCAUCAGACUAGGUUUUCUAUCUUAGGAGAAAAAUUCAUCAGACUAAGAUUUCGAUCCUAGGAGAAAAUUCAUCACACUAGGUCCAUUUCUUUUGUUAACUUAUGAGAAAGAUUCAUCACACUAAGACUUUGAUCCUAGGAGAAAAUUCAUCAAACUAGGUCAUUUUUUUUGUUAUCUUAGGAGAAAGAUUCAUCAGNNNNNNNNNNNNNNNNNNNNNNNNNNNNNNNNNNNNNNNNNNNNNNNNNNNNNNNNNNGAUCCUAGGAGAAAAUUCAUCACACUAGGUCCAUUUCUUUUGUUAACUUAUGAGAAAGAUUCAUCACACUAAGACUUUGAUCCUAGGAGAAAAUUCAUCAAACUAGGUCAUUUUUUUUUGUUAUCUUAGGAGAAAGAUUCAUCAGACUAAGAUUUUGAUCCUAGGAGAAAGUUUAUCAGACUAGGUUUCUUUUCCUUCUUUUUUUGUAUCUUAGGAGAAAGAUUCAUCAGACUAAGAUUUCUAUCAUAUGAGAAAGUUCAUCAGACUAGAUUUUCUAUCUUAGGAGACAGACUCAUCAGACUAAGAUUUUUAUUAGGAGGAAAAUCCAUCAGACUAGGACUUUUUAUCCUAGGAGAAAAAAAAAUGGGAAGAUCAACGACGAGAUUUUAUGCACAAUAGCAAGGCAAAUAAAGGCAAAGAUUUGAGAAACUUCCCUUUGUCGGCUCUUCUCCUCUUUUUUUUGAACCACUUUCCUUGCACUGCUUUGUUCCUGUUUAAACAAAGAAAAUUUUUGUCAGAUUCAAAAGUGGUGGUUGGCUUGUGGCCUUGAGUCUUGAGCAGCUUGGCUUUUGCUCGAUCAGCCUGAGUCGAUCUCAAGAAACUUUUGUUCUGCACCACCUCUGAUUGUUUCACACCCAGUACCAUUUGUAUUUGUAACUCAAAUAGCCUUAUCCCAACUGGAGAUCUUUGCUUAGGUGACCUUUUUUGAUAUCUUGAAUGACUUCCUGCUUUUGAGUAAUUUGUUUGUUAGAGAGAAUCACCAGUUAUCUUUGCUUGCGCCAAAUAGGCUGACAAGAAUCUUUUGCGGGAGGCUUUUCUUGAAUCCUCAAGGCACAUUGACAGUAACAACCGAGUGUGCUGGCCAAAUUUACUUUGUGCAACUGAAAAUCUGGUAGCAGAUUUUGAAAUCUUUUCUUGCUUGUUUUGACAAGGACUGACUCGGAGUGAAGGACACAAUGAUGCAAAGAAACAAGUAUUAACAAGAAAUGCCCAUGUCGGAAGGACAGAAGGAAGAGUUUUUUUUCCUUUUCUAUUUUUUUCUUUGUUUUUUUCCCAAUAACUAGCCUUAAUAGUCAUGACAUGUAUUUUGGACUCAAUGGCCUGAUCUAUCAAACUAAUCCAAUUUUCCCUUUUGCCAUUCUUAUGACCUUUGAAGUCGGGCUUGUUUGUGUCAAUCUUUCGCAUUAUCUUCACGACUCACUUUCGACUAGUGGUGCCCCGAGGGAUUUUCACCAAUAAAUCUCUUUCAUUUGUUCAUCUCUGCUUACUGUCGUCUUACAAUGCCCGUGAGAGUUUUCACUAGUAAGACUCUCUCAUUUUUUUUCUUUUUCUCCAUUGAUUUCUUGAGCAACUUAACAGUAUUCUAUGUCGUGUGACAACCAUUGCUCAUUGCAUGCUUCUCUUUGCAUUUUUUGAAGUCAUAUCGGGAGGUCGUUAUUUGGAAUGAUUUUGGAUAGGGUUGAAAAGAAAGGACGUUAUGAUGACUCGAAAUAGACUCAAAAUAAAAGGGGGUUAUAGACUUACAACUUCUUGGAAUCGACUCUUUCAAAAGUGAAAUAAAAUCUUUGCCCCAGUUUCAGCUAUUGGGGAUUUUUUGGAAUUUUUUUUUGAAUUCUUAUUUGGUUAGACCGAACCGUGAAGCUUCCUACGUAUCCUUUUUUAAAGAAUCAGGUCGAACGUAGUUCAAACAUCUGACCUAACUAUUUUUUUUUCAUNNNNN